CCUGUUUAACAAAAACAUGUCUUUUUGAGUUAUUUUUAAAGUCUGACCUGCCCACUGAAAUUUUUAAAUGGCCGCAGUAUUUUAACUGUGCAAAGGUAGCAUAAUCAUUAGUCUUUUAAUUGAAGGCUGGUAUGAACGGUUGGACGAGGUAUAAGCUGUUUCAUAUAAAUUUAUAAUAGAAUUUUAUAUUUUAGUCAAAAAGCUAAAAUAUUAUUAAAAGACGAGAAGACCCUAUAAAUCUUUAUAUUUUAUUUUAUUUAAAUUUUUUGGAUUUUGUUUAUUUUUAUAAUUUUGAAUAUUUUGUUGGGGUGAUGUUAAAAUUUAAUGAACUUUUAAUUUUUUAAAAUCAUUAAUUUAUGAAUUAUUGAUCCAUUAUUAGUGAUUAUAAGAUUAAGUUACUUUAGGGAUAACAGCGUAAUUUUUUUGGAGAGUUCAUAUCGAUAAAAAAGUUUGCGACCUCGAUGUUGGAUUAAGAUAUAUUUUUAGGUGUAGCCGCUUAAAU
Molecule: ribosomal RNA, 502 nt
Filed under: Zeugodacus fallacis
Lineage: Eukaryota; Metazoa; Arthropoda; Insecta; Diptera; Tephritidae
Description: partial large subunit ribosomal RNA
Rfam family: Bacterial large subunit ribosomal RNA
Source: RNAcentral